GACGAACGCUGGCGGCGUGCUUAACACAUGCAAGUCGUACGGUAAGGCCCUUUCGGGGGUACACGAGUGGCGAACGGGUGAGUAACACGUGAGUAACCUGCCCACAACUUUGGGAUAACGCUAGGAAACUGGUGCUAAUACUGGAUAUGUGCUCCUGCUGCAUGGUGGGGGUUGGAAAGCUCCGGCGGUUGUGGAUGGACUCGCGGCCUAUCAGCUUGUUGGUGGGGUAGUGGCCUACCAAGGCGGCGACGGGUAGCCGGCCUGAAAGGGUGACCGGCCACAUUGGGACUGAGAUACGGCCCAGACUCCUACGGGAGGCAGCAGUGGGGAAUAUUGCACAAUGGGCGCAAGCCUGAUGCAGCAACGCCGCGUGCGGGAUGACGGCCUUCGGGUUGUAAACCGCUUUCAGCAGGGACGAAGCUUUUUGUGACGGUACCUGCAGAAGAAGCACCGGCUAACUACGUG
RNAcentral lists this ribosomal RNA (465 nucleotides) under uncultured bacterium. Its description in RNAcentral is "partial 16S ribosomal RNA". It matches the Rfam family "Bacterial small subunit ribosomal RNA", at positions 28 to 507 of the family's 1533-position model. The record is from RNAcentral.